GCCUGCAGAUGUCCGGGCCUGGCUCCAAGUCUCAGCCUGGGCGGGGCUGGGACAGAACAGGGCCAGGAACAGAAAAAAUAAUCACUUACCUUCUUCCUAUUGAAAGUUUAAAAGUUUGCUUUUUAACACCAACACCUGUCACCUACCUGGAGCUGAUGUUUUGUAUUUUCUGCUCCUGACGAGGUAGAGAUUUGUGAAACGACACAAACACAACAACUAAACAACCCGUCUUUGGAAUCCAGUAUAAUCAUGAACGUCCGUGCACGAGAAAGGCGCAUGGAGACACCUUACAGAGAUGGAAAACACACGCAGACGACAAAGGAUCAGUACCCAAAAGACGCAGAAUUCCUACUGUCAUCAGGAAAGGGACCAGCAGGCCUCCAGCCAGGCUUUCUGUGUGAGUGAAAACAGUUUUUUCCACAGGAAGCACCUCCAGUGUGUCCCAGGAGCCCUUGGAAAUGCCACUGCUGAGUUAUUCCGUCACUUUCCAAAUCAUCCCGCAACAGAAGCUUGUGCCUUCUUGGUCGGUACUUUCUUCUCUUGAGGAUUAGGCAGGUAUACAAGAACACUUCCUGAGCAAGUGCAGGUCACUUUGUCAGAUUAGCAAUGCUGACUCAGUGCAUAGUUUAAAUUUUCAGAAUUUUUAAAAUAACUAAACAACAGCAAACCACUGGAAAUGGUCCGGGCUCCUUCCAGAUCUCAUUGAUUUGGUGCUGUCUUUCCUCAUGGUCACAAGAUGGCUACUACAGCACCAAGCAUCACAUCCUACUUCCAGUGUGCUAAGCCAAAACAAAGGUGGUUAAGAGAGAACGGGCUUUCUCCUCACGUGCCUCUGUCUUCUCAGGAAAGAAAAAUUCCCCAGGAGCCCACAGCAGAAAUCCAUUUUGCUUACGGACCAGGUUGAAGUCAGUCUAUCCCCAGAAUAACUGUUGGCAAAGAGACUUCCGUGACCAGCCCUGAUUCUUCCCCUGGGGCAGGGCAGGCGCCACCUACACAAAGCCUUGUGGGAGCAGAGGUGGCAGAGCUCAGCCAGGGCAGGAACUGCAGAGGGGACGAAGCAGAGACGUUCCCGUUGUGGCGGCGGCUUGAGAGGAUUCAAGGCUGAGUUCCUUCCAGCCCUGACUGUGAUUCUAAAGAAUUUUCCCUCAACACCGAUGGAAGCUUCCAUUACAGAUUCACACUUAGGUGC
RNAcentral lists this long non-coding RNA (1189 nucleotides) under Felis catus (domestic cat). RNAcentral's name for it is "lncRNA (ENSFCAG00000049442.1)". Lineage: Eukaryota; Metazoa; Chordata; Mammalia; Carnivora; Felidae. The record is from RNAcentral.